Molecule: ribosomal RNA, 475 nt
Filed under: uncultured bacterium
Lineage: Bacteria
Description: SSU rRNA
Rfam family: Bacterial small subunit ribosomal RNA
Source: RNAcentral
AGGACGAACGCUGGCGGCGUGCUUAACACAUGCAAGUCGAGCGGAAAGGCCCUUCGGGGUACUCGAGCGGCGAACGGGUGAGUAACACGUGAGUAAUCUGCCCCUAGCUCUGGGAUAGCUCCGGGAAAACCGGGAUUAAUACCGGAUACGACCACCUUAGACAUCUUUUGUGGUGGAAAGAAUUUCGGCUAGGGAUGAGCUCGCGGCCUAUCAGCUUGUUGGUGGGGUAACGGCCUACCAAGGCGACGACGGGUAGCCGGCCUGAGAGGGCGACCGGCCACACUGGGACUGAGACACGGCCCAGACUCCUACGGGAGGCAGCAGUGGGGAAUAUUGCGCAAUGGGCGAAAGCCUGACGCAGCGACGCCGCGUGGGGGAUGAAGGCCUUCGGGUUGUAAACCCCUUUCAGCAGGGACGAAGCGAAAGUGACGGUACCUGCAGAAGAAGCGCCGGCUAACUACGCGCCAGCAGCCGC